CCUACGGGGGGCAGCAGUGGGGAAUAUUGGAUAAUGGGGGGAACCCUGAUCCAGCCAUGCCGCGUGUGUGAAGAAGGCCCUCGGGUUGUAAAGCACUUUCAGUGAGGAAGAACGCCUGGUGGUUAAUACCCAUCAGGAAAGACAUCACUCACAGAAGAAGCACCGGCUAACUCCGUGCCAGCAGCCGCGGUAAUACGGAGGGUGCGAGCGUUAAUCGGAAUUACUGGGCGUAAAGCGCGCGUAGGUGGCUUGAUAAGCCGGUUGUGAAAGCCCCGGGCUCAACCUGGGAACGGCAUCCGGAACUGUCAAGCUAGAGUGCAGGAGAGGAAGGUAGAAUUCCCGGUGUAGCGGUGAAAUGCGUAGAGAUCGGGAGGAAUACCAGUGGCGAAGGCGGCCUUCUGGACUGACACUGACACUGAGGUGCGAAAGCGUGGGUAGCAAACAGGAUUAGAUACCCCGGUAGUC
RNAcentral lists this ribosomal RNA (465 nucleotides) under Vreelandella stevensii. Its description in RNAcentral is "partial 16S ribosomal RNA". It matches the Rfam family "Bacterial small subunit ribosomal RNA", at positions 338 to 795 of the family's 1533-position model. Lineage: Bacteria; Pseudomonadati; Pseudomonadota; Gammaproteobacteria; Oceanospirillales; Halomonadaceae. The record is from RNAcentral.